Molecule: ribosomal RNA, 253 nt
Filed under: uncultured bacterium
Lineage: Bacteria
Description: partial 16S ribosomal RNA
Rfam family: Bacterial small subunit ribosomal RNA
Source: RNAcentral
UACAUAGGGGGCAAGCGUUGCUCGGAAUUACUGGGCGUAAAGGGCGCGUAGGCGGGAUGGCAAGUCGGUCGUGAAAUCCCUCGGCUCAACUGAGGAUCGUCGAUCGAUACUGCCGUUCUUGAGGAUUGCAGAGGAGACUGGAAUUCCCGGUGUAGCGGUGAAAUGUGUAGAGAUCGGGAGGAACACCGGUGGCGAAGGCGGGUCUCUGGGCAAUUCCUGACGCUGAGGCGCGAAAGCCAGGGGAGCAAACGGG